Molecule: ribosomal RNA, 247 nt
Filed under: uncultured bacterium
Lineage: Bacteria
Description: partial 16S ribosomal RNA
Rfam family: Bacterial small subunit ribosomal RNA
Source: RNAcentral
CUUCCUACGGGGCGCAGCAGUGGGGAAUAUUGCACAAUGGGCGAAAGCCUGAUGCAGCAACGCCGCGUGAAGGAAGAAGGCCUUCGGGUCGUAAACUUCUGUCCUUGGGGAAGAAGAACUGACGGUACCCAAGGGGGAAGCCCCGGCUAACUACGUGCCAGCAGCCGCGGUAAUACGUAGGGGGCAAGCGUUAUCCGGAAUUAUUGGGUUUAAAGGGUGCGCAGGCGGGAGAUCAAGUCAGCGGUAA